Oxyura jamaicensis (ruddy duck) is the source of this 4679-nucleotide long non-coding RNA. RefSeq lists it as uncharacterized. NCBI's taxonomy places the organism in Eukaryota, Metazoa, Chordata, Aves, Anseriformes, Anatidae. The record is from RefSeq and is a predicted model, not a curated record. The transcript has 7 exons.
AAAUACAAUGUCCUGGUGGCCCUCAAGAUUUGGACACAGUGGAAAUGAGGACCAUCCCAAGCGUCAGGCAAUGGGCUGGUAACUUCUGCAGAGUUGGGCUCUGCCGAGGGGACAGCGGGAGGCGAGCGGAGCAUCCUGGUGGUGGCUGGAAUCCCUGUCACCAUAGCGACCGGAGGCAGUCCUUAAAUAUAGAUGCGGUUCUUCCCCGUACCCUCGCUGUCCUUUUGUCUGUAACAGAGCAACAAAUGGGCUCGACUUCCUUCUGCAUGCAACCUGAUGGAGCCAUGAAGGUCAGAAAUGUGCCAGCUUUAUGGUUUUAUAAGCCCUGCCACGUGCAGUGUUUGAGGCAGAGACCCACUGAUAGUGGGUUUGGUCCUGCUCCAUUCACUGCUCCGUGUGUGCACUCCAAGUGCUGUUUGAGCCCGGUGAAAAUCCUCAGAUGGGUUGGGCUGAAAGAAAGAAUCCAUUAGCAAGGCUGGAAAUCACUUAAUUCCUGCAGCUCCUGGAGGAGAUGCCCCAUUUUGCAGCAAAGGCUAGGGAUGAAGUGAGCAUCCUUGCUCUUGCGUGGCCCCAGCCAGGCUUCCCGUGCUGGCACGGGUGGCACAGCCGUGCAGGAAGGUCGUGCUUGUGAUUUCCAGGCUGUUCCUGCGGGGCAGAGAUGUCUCUUACCAGGGCUGCCAGCUGCUGCUGCCCCUGCUGUUGAGGUCUGUGACUUCCAUGGCUGUGAAGUGGAGCACCUGACCCCCCAGCAUGAAAUGGGUUCUCUCCUGACGAUGCUGUGCUGAUGGGAAAUGUUUUAGGGGCUUUGUGGUCUUUCACAGGCUGUAAGUAUGCACCCAAAGAGGUUUCUGGGAGGAGAUGGCACUGUAUUGAGCAGUAAGGAGGGACUGAGAUCCAGCUCUUGGAAGCUGAAGCUAGACAAAAUGAGACCAGCACUAAAUGUCCAUUGUUAACAGCCUCAUUGACCACUAGAUUGGUGAACUGAGAACACUCUUGUUACCAUGAAGUUCAAGUUAUUACGGGGGAUAGAAAGCACAGCAGCUGCUCCCUGCUGCCGGCCUGCUCCCUGCAGCAGCUCUGUGUGUGCCCCGGGUCCCACUCUGCUGCCCCAAGAGCUCUGCCUGCUCUUUGCUGGGGCACAUCCCCAUUGUUUUUACUGGUUUCCAGCUUUUUUUUUUUUUUUUUUUUUUUUUUUUUUCCCUCCGGGGUCUUCCUCCCUGUGACACCCUGCUGCCGUCCCCUCUCCCUGAGCACCAGCAGAGUGCUAAGUGUCAACGAACGCAUGCUGUGUGCCACGCAGGGGCUGGCUGCACCAGCACCGGACUGAACAGCUGGGCCAGGACGUCGCUGGCAUCAGGAAUUUAAACCUGACGGAUUCCUCGGUGCGAACGGUGCAGGGAAAGCAGAUCUCUAGGCGGGAGGAGUGGCUCAGUACCGCAGCGUGCUGUGGGAAGCAGGAGUCAGCGUGCGUGCUGCAGAGGCGCGGGCAGGCAGGAGCAUCCCGCAGUGUGCAGUGAGCCUGCGGAGCGCUGCCCUCAUCCUGCUGCAAUUCGUGUGCACCCAGCCCAGGGGCAACUCCCAUGCACCCACCUGAAGCCCCUGCACCCUCCCUGCAGUGCUGAAACCCCUUAGGCUGGGAAAAAUCAUAGCGACUAAAAUUCACCGAAUGCCUUUGGUAUCUCCGGUGUGUGACUACGCACCAAACCCACCUGUUAAGGUUGUUCAUUCCUCAGCGCUCUGCACAGGUUCUUUUAGAAAUUCACACUUUUUAAUUAAAUACGGGGUUUUACGCCAUAGAUCAGGAAGAGUCCCCAAACUACAGGAAUUAUUUACUGGUGCAGUAUAGUGGGAAAGCUCCCGGGUUCCUGGCUUCACUGUAGCAUAGUUUCAUUCUGUUAGCUAAAUCGUUGUAAUUUCAUUGUUAGCUUAUUAUAUUAGAAGGGUAUUCGGGCCACAAAACCAAGUGACUGAUUAAUUUGAUUUGCUGAAUUUAAGGUUUUCCCGUAAAAUCCUAGUUCUUCUCCCUUGUUCAUCUGUGGAGAAGUGCAAUCUGGAUCAAGUUUAUUUUUUGUUGUAUUUUUUUUUUUUUCCUCUUAAUAACAGUCCUGUCUCUGUUAGUAUUGGGUACUUUUCUCUUGAUCUAGUCACUGAAAAUGGCUAAUUUUCCUGAAAUUGUCUUUGAUUCCUACUAGAGCCCAAUAAUCAGCAUGGAAAAUUCCAACCUGAGCAGUGUUAAUUUUGGCAAAACCUGAGUACAAAAGAACUCUGGUGCAUCAAGCAUCAGAUGCACCUGUUAAAUGCAGCCGUAGGAGGCUGCUCUUGUGAACCAGCUGUUUUCUGGUUUCAGAUUUAUUUUCCUCCUGCUGACCUCUUCUGAUUUGGAGCUGAAAGACUUUGGGUUACAAAUCCUAGGUUUUAACAAGGGAAGAUCUGUCUUUGGGAUGUUACAGCCGGAAAAGGAUAUCAUGGCUCAACGUGAACUGAAAGCUGAGUAGAACAUCAAGGACUUGCCUUCCAUUAGCCGGUCAUCUUCUGCUUCUCUGUAAGGUUGUUCAGGAUUGCCACAGGGCUGGCUUCAAACCCAACGAGUGCACUGAUCAGUCCGCUGGGGAGGAGAACUGGCAGCAGAAAAUGGCACUCAGAAUACCAGCGCUGUACGCCUGCUGUGUACCUGUGAGCCUGAAGCUUUAAUGCUGCACGGCAGUGGGUGCCUGGGGGCUCCAGGGUCCUUUUUAGUAACUGAACACUGGGUGUGCCAAAGUGAGCUGCAUCACGGAGACACAUUUCAGGGGAAAAUGUAGCUGUCAGGAAGAUUGAUGCUUUAGGAACAGACAGCAAGAGCUGCUAUUCACAGUGCUGAUUCUGACUGCAGCAAGAUGUCUGGUGCACACCGAAAAAUGCAGCACCCCCUCUGGGCACACACAGGUGCAAGUGGCAGGCUCGUGUUCCUGGGGGCUACUAGCUUCUCUAAAUGGGACGGCAGCUGCUGGCAGCCUGGGCAUUUCCUCUUGGAGGCAGCGUGAGCCCCUGGGACUCGCUCAGCUCCUGGAGAUGCUGCCAUCCGUGGCUGUCAGGACAUGGCAGUGAAGCACAAGGCAGGGAAUGACUGCGCAACCACACAUGGUACCCCAAAAACCAGUGCACUUUUAACCAGAGACAGCUCUGGGCAAGGUGAGCGAAGAUCGCACGCGAACACAGAGACUGGGGAGGAGGUUGUGGUGUGCUGCUGAGCAGAGGAAUUUAAUUAACCUCCUCUGUUGAUUUGGAUGGAGAACUGCCUUCUCUUUUCACGGCAAAGGAGCCCAGGGAAACUGGUGAGAGCAUCUCCACCUUCCUGGCAUCCCCCAGCACACAGGGUGAUACAGAAGGUGCAGCUGAGUCCUGCUGAACAUCCCUCCAGGCCUGCUGAAAAACAACUUGAACAGUGAACAAAGCACCAAAAGAAGAAGCACAAGAAAGGGCCUGAGGCUGCAUACCCCGAGGAGGAGGAGAAACUUCCCUGCACCCUCAGCGAGGGGCCACGCGAGCAUCAGUAAAGGUGAUCUUAAGAGCUCCAUCCUCAGCAUUUUCUCCCUGCUAACUCCAGAUAAUGCCUUGGUCCACUGCUGGCAUUUCCCCAUCCUGUGGCCAGCACCAAAACGUGGACCUGCAGUACCCUCCGUCGGGCACCGCGGCGAUACCAGCUCUGCUCAGCACCCUCCUCUCCAGCUGAGUCCUGGGGAGCAGAGCUGCACUUUUGGUAGGUUAUCGCAGUGUUUUCAUUUUGUAGGCUUACCUCCCAGUUUGUUCUGUUUGGUAGGGAGCAUUGGGUGUUAUUCCCCUGCAGCCCUCGUGCCUACAGCAGAAGGGAAGGUUUAGAAGAGCUCAUUGGAAUUCACAGGGAGUGGCGAAGUCCCAUGUGAAGAAGUUUAAUCUGAGCCAGCCUUUGAGAAUGGCUUAUUGCAGCCUUCUGCAUCACCCACAAACACUGUAGGGAAAAACAGGGAAGGAGAGCAGUGUUAGAUAAGCUGCUUUAAAAUGAUCUUCAUAAUCCUGCAAAUUAAAAUUUAUUUUAUUAAAUACCCAUUACAGAUGCAAAAUAACCCAAGAAAGGCUGGAAGUGACCCUCCCCACAGGCAAUUCAUGGUAGUCCUGCAGCUGCAACUGGCUGUCACCGAAACAACAGAUCUCACCCCUCCAAGGAGCCAGCCCUUGGUGGCAUGAGAUGCCCAGCCUUGCCUGGGGGACCUGCCCAGGGCAGCCUGUCUCCCCGGCACAAGCCAUAACAUUAAUACUUGCUUGAAAUUAGAUGUGAGGGCUGCCCCCCGAGAUACUUUGCAGCCAUUGACAUGGGGCUUUCCAACCCCCUUGCAGCUCCAGCAUUUAUUGCUGUCGAGUGGCACAACAGGAAGGAAGAGGACAAAUGGAGCAGGGGAUGGCCAAGAAGGGCUGGUAUCAUGCAGGGUUUUCAAAACUUGCCCAUUUGCUGCAAGUUCCUUGUAAAAGAUGAGCAAGAGAAGGCUUAGAAUGUUGGGUUACACCAUCAGCUUUAUUCUCACCAAAGUGCCUGUCUCACAGAAGCUCUGCCGAGAAGCGUGCCCCCCAUCAGCUGCAUGUGGCAGCAAGGAGGCAAAGCAUCUUGGCCACGAUCACCGAGGGAUCUCUCCUAGAAUUUAGAGUACAUUUAGCUGCUCAUUCAU